Long non-coding RNA from Humulus lupulus (European hop), 300 nucleotides. RefSeq lists it as uncharacterized. The record is from RefSeq and is a predicted model, not a curated record. Lineage: Eukaryota; Viridiplantae; Streptophyta; Magnoliopsida; Rosales; Cannabaceae. The transcript has 2 exons.
UAAAAUCGGACUAAAUCAUUCUAAGAUCAUCGAUAAGCUUAGGAGCGUUGCUUUGGGCUCGGAUUAAAUUCUAAAGAGGAGCCUAGUGACGCGAACGUGGAAAAGAUGAAUUAUCGAUGAAGCCAAUGUGUUUAGCCUAUUUCUAUUUCGUGUCAUUGUCUUAUCUUUUGAGCAUUAUAUAUGUAUUCGACUUCGAAUCUAAUGAUCAGUAUAUCUGAAUAAGCUAUGAAAUAGUUAGGGAUGAGAAAUGGUGGAUGCUAAGUAUUAUUUUGGGUGUUUAUGACUUAUUAAAUUUAACUA